UGUCAGAGGAAACAACAGCUGCUAUACCGCCACGUCCGCCUUUGUGUUGUUAGAUGCUUUGGGUCAGAUACAAAUAAGUGAUGAGUUGCGUAAAGUGAUAUUCUUUGGCGGUAUUGAUCCCAGUCUCAGGCGAGUGGUGUGGAAACACAUUCUCAACGUAUAUCCAAGUGCAACGUAUGAAUUACAUGCGUCGCAAGUCUGAAUAUUACUAUAAACUGCGAGACACUUGGAAAGCAGGCGUUAAAAACGGUUGUAUGGCUAUUGGCGAAUUAGCUUAUGUAACUAGUAUGGUCAAAAAGGAUGUUUUAAGAACCGAUCAUUUGCAUCCAUUCUACGCCGGCAACGACGACAACCAGAACAUUGCAUCGCUUUUCAAUAUACUUACUACAUAUGCGCUUAAUCAUCCUUCAGUAAGCUAUUGUCAGGGCAUGUCUGAUAUCGCCUCACCUUUAUUAGUCACCAUGAAUGAUGAAGCACAAGCUUACAUUUGCUUUUGCGCGAUAAUGAGUCGUGUGAAGGGUAAUUUUAUGUUGAAUGGAAUCGCAAUGACGCAGAAAUUUGCUCAUCUAACUGAAGCAUUGAGUUACUAUGACAAGGAAUUUUGGGAAUACCUCAAAUCGCUCACGGCAUUCGGAAUAGCGCACUACAUCCCUGAGCAGCUGAAUUUCCGUCACUGCUUGCGUGACAUGACGGAAGAGAAGGACAAUUUUUGCGAAGAGGUGAUGGGUCGGAAAGUAGCAAAGGACCCCGUAAAUAACUUGACGCUUACCAGCAAGUAUCUUAAGCCGGCGUUCCCGAAAGUCGACGGGGCGUUCGACCAAGCCUAUGAUGUGUUUUACUCAGCAAUGGACCAGCACGUGGUGCGGGAUGAUGCACCGAAUUAAGUUACUGGGAUUCAUACUGUUUACGCUGCUAACAGGCAAAAACAUCAGGGGGUCAAUUGAUCGGAACGCGUCUGCAUUCUAAGUUUGGAUUAAAAAGUUCCAUCCACACACUUACAUUUAUGGAAAAUCGUGCGAGAAAAGCAGCAAAAUUUAAACAGCGCCGCCGUCCACCGCCUCAUAUAGAUGAAGGUUCACUGCAUGCCAAAGAUUAAAAAAAAAAAAACAUACGCACUAUCGCUUCAGCAGAAUGCCAAAGGAUAUCAACAACCGUUCAACACAGCACCACUGUCAAGCAGCAUACUGCCGUAUAUUUAUUUAAUAAUCUUAUCUUAUCUAUAUUAUUUGCAUUUAUAUUAUGUAUUUAUAUUAUAUUAAUAAGCGGGGAUUUAUUUGUUAUUGUAAAUAUUAUUAUAGUUUUAAGUUUACAAUGGUGUAAGCCUAAAGGGGAGCCAGCUAUUUAAAACAAUUGGCAACGCGCCUAUCACGGCACCUCAAGGGUGGUGUGGAAAACCGUGUCAGGAAGCCGUGCUGACCAUCUAGCAGCUGGCAGUGUGAAUGUCACAAAUGAAAUUCAAACUUUAUGAGCGGCAACACCCCAAGAACAUCGUUACUGCCCACUAUGCGCCAACAACAACGUACUUUUUGCAUACGACGCCCUUGCGUACAUUAUCAACUAGAACUUGUUACUCUGUCCGAUAUGCUCAUCAUUACACAUUGUUCCUUCUAAUUUAUUUCCAUCGAAGACUUCUGCUUUAGGCAUCUAUCAGAUUUUUGCAACUGCACCGACAGAUUGUGCUUAUUACCAAAUUACGUUAAACUAAAAGACGUGGAUUAGAUAGCAUAUAUUUUUAUUUUAUUUUUUUAUUUAUUUAUUUUUUUUUGAAUACAAACAAAAUUUUAUAAAUA
Glossina fuscipes is the source of this 1790-nucleotide RNA transcript. It is a transcript of the gene named TBC1 domain family member 25-like, with no coding region annotated. The transcript has 6 exons. The record is from RefSeq and is a predicted model, not a curated record. NCBI's taxonomy places the organism in Eukaryota, Metazoa, Arthropoda, Insecta, Diptera, Glossinidae.